GGCUCGUUGCGCUCGCAAAUGGCCACGAGGGCCGCGGAGGCGCCAUCUCCCCCGCCGCCGAGAGAAGAAAGGACAUGAGCAAACUCUAGAUAGCGAAGCGGUUGGGCUUCCUCCUGAUCUCCUCCCGCAGCUCCCGCUCCAGCCUGCACCUGCGAAACACGAGGGAGAUGCCUGUGCCCCUCUCUCCCCUGACGCCCCUCCUUCCCGCGCCCCUCCCUCCCCCACCACCUCUUCCUCCACCUGGGUUGC
RNAcentral lists this long non-coding RNA (249 nucleotides) under Zea mays. Its description in RNAcentral is "long non-coding RNA NONZMAT000436". Lineage: Eukaryota; Viridiplantae; Streptophyta; Magnoliopsida; Poales; Poaceae. The record is from RNAcentral.